GUCGAGAAUCUUCCGCAAUGCGCGAAAGCGUGACGGAGCGACACCGCGUGAUGGAUGAAGUCCUUCGGGGCGUAAACAUCUUUUAUAAAGGAGGAAAUUUUUGACGUUACUUUAUGAAUAAGGGGCUCCCAAUCUCGUGCCAGCAGGAGCGGUAAUACGAGAGCCUCAAGCGUUAUCCGGAAUCAUUGGGCGUAAAGGGUGCGUAGGUGGUUUGAUUAGUCUCCCGUUAAAACUUCGAGCUUAACUCGAAAAGAGCGGGGGAAACGGUCAAACUAGAGUAUGUGAGAGGUGGGUGGAACUCAUGGUGUAGGGGUGAAAUCCGUUGAUAUCAUGGGGAACACCAAAAGCGAAGGCAGCACACUGGCACAUCACUGACACUGAGGCACGAAACCUAAGGUAGCGAAUGGGAUUAGAAACCCGUUUAGUCC
RNAcentral lists this ribosomal RNA (428 nucleotides) under uncultured bacterium. RNAcentral describes it as "partial 16S ribosomal RNA". It matches the Rfam family "Bacterial small subunit ribosomal RNA", at positions 354 to 796 of the family's 1533-position model. The record is from RNAcentral.